AACUUUCAGCAACGGAUCUCUCAGUUGCGCGAAGCUGGCCAUCCAAGUGCGACGAGUGUUCGUUGGCCUUUGGGCGAAACGGUCUACCCUCGUACGAACGUUCCGGGCCUCGCUCUGGCGACGAGGCCGGCGGUUCGAUCCAGAUCCGCGUUGCGCCAAGGAAGCGCCAACUUUUGAGGCAACGCGGUUCCGAUACGCAAUCCUGAACCUCGCCGCGCCGAACGCGGUGCAAAUCAAUGGAACGGCCGCCGAGUCGCCCCGGCGGCCGUUUGCUUUGAUGCGGAAAGUACUAAUGCCGCCUCGCUCGCGCCCUGAAUCCCGAAUAUGCCUAGGGGCAUGGAUCAAAGAAUGACCGAACUGGAACGCGCGUUUCAGCUGGCGAGGUCUGGGCGCGUUGCCGGACUCACGGACAUCAUCACAACACUUAAGCAUAUCAAUAAGCGGAGGCC
Molecule: unclassified non-coding RNA, 449 nt
Filed under: uncultured Ascomycota
Lineage: Eukaryota; Fungi; Ascomycota
Description: sequence contains ITS2
Source: RNAcentral